AAAAAUUUAUUAUGAAUUUAUUUUACAUAUAAAUUUUAGUGUAUAAUUUUAAUUAUUUUAAUAAUAAUUAAUUAUUUUUAUAGUAAUUAAAAUUAAAAAUUUAAGAAAUUAAGAUUUAGUAAUAUAAAAAUUAAUAACUAAUUUUGUGCCAGCAGUUGCGGUUAAACAAAAGUUAAAUUAAAUUAAUUCAGUAUAUAAUUAAUAUAUUAAUAAUUAUUAAAAUAAAUAUUAAAUUAUUAAGUGAAAUUUUAAUUUAAUUAAAUUUUAAAUUAAAAUUAUGAUUUAGUAAAUUUAAUUAUAAACUAGGAUUAGAUACCCUAUUAUUAAAAAUUUAAUUAAAAAUACUAAAAUAGUAAAUAAUUUUUUAUUGAAACUUAAAUAAUAUGGCGGUAUUUUAGUUCAUUUAGAGGAAUCUGUCUAAUAAUUGAUAAUCCACGAAUAAAUUUACUUAAUUUAAUAUUUUGUAUAUCAUUGUUAAAAAAAUAUUUUUUAAUAAUAAAUAAUAUUUUAAAAUUUAUAAUAAAAAUUAAUUCAGAUCAAGAUGCAGAUUAUAAUUAAGAUUAAGAUGGAUUACAAUAAAAUUAUUUAAAUGGAAAAAAAUUUGUAAUAAUUAAUUGAAAGUGGAUUUAAAUGUAAUUUUAAUUAAUUUAUUAAAAUGAUUAAAAAUUAAAAUAUGUACAUAUUGCCCGUCACUUUCAUUUAAAAAUUGAAAUAAGUCGUAACAAAGUAGAGGUACUGGAAAGUGUUUCUAGAAAGA
This 757-nucleotide non-coding RNA is filed under the name Pantoporia hordonia. Lineage: Eukaryota; Metazoa; Arthropoda; Insecta; Lepidoptera; Nymphalidae. The record is from RNAcentral.